RNAcentral lists this transfer-messenger RNA (386 nucleotides) under Helicobacter pylori. It matches the Rfam family "transfer-messenger RNA". Rfam says of the family: Bacterial tmRNA, also known as 10Sa RNA or SsrA, is named for its dual tRNA and mRNA-like properties. Its role is to liberate the mRNA from a stalled ribosome. To accomplish this part of the tmRNA is used as a reading frame that ends in a translation stop signal. The record is from RNAcentral. Lineage: Bacteria; Pseudomonadati; Campylobacterota; Epsilonproteobacteria; Campylobacterales; Helicobacteraceae.
GGGGCUGACUUGGAUUUCGACAGAUUUCUUGUCGCACAGAUAGCAUGCCAAGUGCUGCUUGUAAAACAGCAACAAAAAUAACUGUAAACAACACAGAUUACGCUCCAGCUUACGCUAAAGCUGCGUGAGUUAAUCUCCUUUUGGAGCUGGACCGAUUAGAAUUUCUAGCGUUUUAAUCACUCCAUAACCUUAAGCUAGACGCUUUUAAAAGGUGGUUCGCCUUUUAAACUAAGAAACAAGAACUCUUGAAACUACCUCAAGGUUUUAGAAAGUUGGACCAGAGCUAGUUUUAAGGCUAAAAAAUUAACCAAUUUUCUAAGCAUUGUAGAAGUUUGUGUUUAGGGCAAGAUUUUUGGACUGGGGUUCGAUUCCCCACAGCUCCACCA